UACAAUUCAACCAUUUUAUCCAUGUUUAAGUCAUGUUUGUGAACCAAAUAAGUGUGUAAAAACAUACUUAUCAUAGAACUUGGUGCGGUCGCAUGGUUGAAGAUGUUGCUGUCUUUCGAGUUUCGGUAGCCACCUGUGCGACUGCAUGUCUGCGACACGGUGCGGUCGCAUGGAGUUGUGGUUUGGUCUCUUUUUCGGCUACUUGAAUCACUUUGUUUCAUAGGCUUCCGGAUUUCGACCCCAACACGAAAGUUGUCACUUAGCUUAUGGACUUCAACAUAGUAUGCUCCGUGCCUCGAUCCAUCAAUUGUGCCACCCGUAUUAGCUUGACGAAGACCCGAACUUGGUUUUGGUUUCUUCUAAUCAAACUCCAAUGCAUUGAUUCGUUUUGGCGAAACCCGUAUCACAUCAAGUGGAAUUGCAACCCCCAUUAUGGCAGGCGAUGUGAAAAGGGAUAACUUGGGUGUUGGUGCUCACAAUCUUGGUGAGGUUCUUCCCGAGGACGAUAUUGAUGAGUAGUAUAAAAAGCGAAUGAUGCUUGGUUACAAACAAAUACCAAAUUCUAUGAUUAAACCAUACUUCUCUCGAGGGACUUGGCUGAUUUGGCGUUCAAUGUUCAUUUACACUAUUUUAUUUUUUUUGGGUAAAUAAUUAUGUAUAGAUCAAAAAUUGAGUAUGACUAUUCUUGGCAUACCAGGGCUAACGAAACAAACAUUUCAAAGAUGAAAUGACCCAAAGUAAGAGAAUCAAAAUGGAUCUAACAUUACAUACUUCAGUUGAUCGGGAAUAUGACUUGUUGAAUCCUGUUUCUAACUUCCAGAAGAUAUGAGCAAGGAAUUCCCUUUCUUCUUGUUAAGACCUGAGGUUCAAUUUUAAAAGUUCAAUAUUGUUAAGGAAAGUAGCUCAAUUCUUUUUAAUUUGGUCUAUAUUUUCUUCUUUAUUCGAUGUCGAAUUUUAUCCCUUAACAUGUUUCUGCAAAAUGGUAGCUUGUUUUGUGUAGACCAAUUUUGACAUUCGUAUGUUCAUUUUUUGAGUCUUAAUUUGAUUGAAUAGCUCGUUUGAGCUUAAUGAACUUUGAUAUUAUGUUAAGAUUUAGAGUACUAUCUUAAAAGGUCAACCUUGUUAAGAAGAGUAGUCAAAUUCUUUUUAAGUUGAUCUAUGUUUUCAUCUUUAUUCGAUGUGAGACUUUACCUCUUUAACAUUUCCUAUCUUUCUUCUUUGAUUUGGUAGGCUUUUCUUCAAGUUUCCCUUUGAGUUUCUCAUUGGGGAACUGUCCAAAUUGGGGAUUUCAAUGUCUGCAACCCCCUGAUCAACUCAUGCUUGAUUAAGGUUGGUUAAGAUCAGUUUGAUCCCCCUUACCCAUUUUCGCAUUUUGCUGGACAGAAUCCAAAUCAUUAGAGUUUGAAACCAGACCCUGCUCCUUAGAUUUAUUAUUUCCCUUCUUUUUCUUGGCCCAUUCAAGGAGGGGAACAUGAUCAUGCAGUCCCAGCUGCACAAAUCCCCUUGCUCCAAGCUGUUUCACACAAUUCGGUUUGCCUGCAAUCGAGUUUCGGCAUUGUUCUGGGUAUCAUUCACCACGUCAACCUUUUUUGCAGUAAGGUGGUGGCUAUAGUUGGAUGUUGUUUUUGGUAUUGUAGCCAUCCGUCGAAUGGCUCCCAAGCAUUUUACAAACCGUGCAAAACUUUGGCAUAUUCUCAAACUCUUGCACAUGACAACCUACCUUUAGUAGAUGUAAGUACAUGUACAUCUGUAGCAAUUGGUUUUCCAACCUUAGAAGUAAUCCUUCUUGAGGCAUUGGGAUUCCAACAAUCCAAUGGUAAUCUGGGUUACGUGAUUCCUACUGGCAUCGUACUAAUUUCCUUAUCGUCAAACUCAAAACAUCGGGGCAUGGUAUGGAGCGUCAAUGGCCCAUUAAAAAUGGAGUACAGUCCCCCACUAAGAACCUGUUCUCGAGCAGCCUAAUUUUCGAAUUUCAAAACAAGCCACCCACCACUGUGUAUAAAGUACUGAUACUUGAUUUUCCAUUCAUCACACAUCUUAAGGAAAGCUGUUUAUUCAAGAAACCUGCCACCAACGUGCCCAACAAGGCAGUAGCCCCAAGAAGAUUCAAUAUCAUCUACAUCCAAGAACCCCAACACAACUUCCUCCGGCAGAUUAUCAAACAUUUGAAGCUGUAAUCCCUUACCUUGAUUUCUGUUAUCUUUAAGAAGAUUAAUCCAAGAGGUUCUAGGCGGAUCUGUUUGUUUUUCUUGGGUAGAAAUGGAGGGUUCAACAGUUGACUGUCCAUCAGUUGUGUCUGCUGACUGUCCAUCAGUUGUGUUUGUAACUUCAUGUUCAGUGUCUCCCUCAUCAAAAUCUUCGUCGUCCUCUUCAGAUUCUUCAAAUUCUGUGUCUUCCUCUCCAAGUGUAUUAUGAUUUAAACUCCUUCCAAAACACUUUUGCAGAAUUUUGGACAGUACUUAUUAAAGGAAUGACUUCAUUUUCCUUGUAUUGUUGCUUUUAUCCUAUAUGUACUGAUCUAUGGUUCAAGAAGGUGAAUAUGGUGUUUGUAAAUCAAAAUUGACCAAUAGAAAACUUCUUGUCGUUGAACCUUCAAGCUUGUGAUCAAUGUUGAUGAACAUCCUUAUAUAUUGGUGAAACGAAAUCAAAUUGGUGAAUUUGAUUUAGUUGACCAUAUUGAAAUAAAAUUAAAUUGGGUGAUCAAUGUGAUGCUAAGUAUAAGUUUAGUGGUUAUUGGUGAAUUUAACAUUUUUGUUAAUUCAUCAUAAUAUAGAAGGGGUCAGACCGGCAAAGUCCAAACAUAACUCGUGUCACUUACGAACCUAGGUAGCACAUUUCUCUCAUGCACUCUAGGUCAUAACGUGUAUCGGUGCAGCUGCCUUCUAUUUUUCUCUCCCUUCCUGAUCUUAGACAACUAAA
Molecule: long non-coding RNA, 2919 nt
Organism: Olea europaea var. sylvestris
Lineage: Eukaryota; Viridiplantae; Streptophyta; Magnoliopsida; Lamiales; Oleaceae
Exons: 2
Source: RefSeq, a predicted model, not a curated record